CAGUAGGUGAUACAAGCCACUGUCUGAACGUUUAGCGUUGACUGUGUGGAUGAUCGUGUGGUAGCCGAUGGAAGUAACGGUAGUGCGAUCAUCCGCUGUCAAAGCUUUACUACCAACAGUCCAAGUGGCUUCGGGACAUGGUUCACCAAUAA
This is a non-coding RNA of Tribolium castaneum (red flour beetle), 152 nucleotides long. NCBI's taxonomy places the organism in Eukaryota, Metazoa, Arthropoda, Insecta, Coleoptera, Tenebrionidae. The record is from RefSeq and is marked provisional.